GGCCUAACACAUGCAAGUCGAACGGUCGCACGGGAGCUUGCUCCUGGUGGCGAGUGGCGAAGGGGUGAUUAAUAUAUCGGAACGUACCCUAGAGUGGGGGAUGACGCAUCGAAAGUUGCGCUAAUACCGCAUACAAUCUACGGAUGAAAGUGGGGGAUCGCAAGACCUCAUGCUCAUGGAGCGGCCGAUAUCUGAUUAGCUAGAUGGUAGGGUAAAAGCCUACCAUGGCUUCGAUCAGUGGCUGGGCUGAGAGGACGACCAUCCUCACUGGAACUGAGACGCGGUCCAUACUCCUACGGGAGGCAGCAGUGGGGAAUUUUGGACAAUGGGCGCAAGCCUGAUCCAGCAAUGCCGCGUGAGUGAAGAAGGCCUUCGGGUUGUAAAGCUCUUUUGUCAGGGAAGAAACGGUGGACUCUAAUACAGAUCACUAAUGACGGUACCUGAAGAAUAAGCACCGGCUAACUACGUGCCAACAUCCGCGGUAAUACGUAGGGUGCAAGCGUUAAUCGGAAUUACUGGGCGUAAAGCGUGCGCAGGCGGUUUGGUAAUACAGAUGUGAAAUCCCUGGGCUCAACCUAGGAAUUGCAUUUGUGACUGCCCGGCUAGAGUGUGUCAGAGGGGGGUAGAAUUCCACGUGUAGCAGUGAAAUGCGUAGAGAUGUGGAGGAAUACCGAUGGCGAAGGCAGCCCCCUGGGGCAAUACUGACGCUCAUGCACGAAAGCGUGAGGAGCAGACAAGAUUAGAUACCCUGGUAGUCCACGCCCUAGACGAUGUCAACUAGUUGUCGGGUCUUCAUUGACUUGGUAACGAAGCUAACGCGUGAAG
Molecule: ribosomal RNA, 825 nt
Filed under: uncultured Herminiimonas sp.
Lineage: Bacteria; Pseudomonadati; Pseudomonadota; Betaproteobacteria; Burkholderiales; Oxalobacteraceae
Description: bacterial SSU rRNA
Rfam family: Bacterial small subunit ribosomal RNA
Source: RNAcentral